GUUGAGCAAUUGGUGUGGUAACUGCUCAAUGCAGCCCUCCUGCUGAAAUGAGGAUCCUGCUGAAAGAACCGGCUCUUCUGCUGGGCGAGAUGAAAGCGUUCAUCUUCUCCGGAGAACACACGAAGUCCUCACCUUGCAAGCAGAGACCAGGCCCUCCCCAGACACUGAGCUUGGUGGCACUUGGAUUUUGGACUUCCAGCCUCCAAAAUUGUGAGAAAAAGUGCUGAAUAUCACAGAACACAAAGAAAAGAGAAAGAGAAACUGACAGAGCCUAUAAAUGUUGCACGAAGGUUCAGAUACAUACAGUUCUGCUGGCUUUUUAAGGAGCAGUGUUUCCUAUAUCCUAAGGCAGAUGGACAUGUUGGGAUGGAGGGACAUGGAUGGAGCUGGAAGCCAUUAUCCUCGGAAAAUUAACACAGGAACAGAAAACCAAACACUGCAUGUUUGUGGGAGCUGAACAAUGAGAACACAUGGACCCAGGGAGGGGAACAACACACACUGGAGCCUGUUGGCGGUAGUGGGGGUAUGAGGGAAGGAAGAGCAUCAGAAAAAAAUAACUAAUGUAUACUGGGCUUAAUACCUAGGUGAUUGGUUGAUAGGUGCAGCAAACCACCAUGGCACACAUUUACCUAUGUAACAAGCCUGUUGCACAUGUAUCCCGGAAUGUAAAAUAAAAUAAAAUAAAAUAAAUAGUACCCCAAAUGCAGUGCAGGACUCUGGAUUCAAUUCUGGAACAGAGAAAGGACAUUUGUGGGAAAAAAAGGGGUGCAAUCUAGGGUCUUUAUAUAUAGAUAAUGGUACUGUAUCAAUGUGAAUUUCUUAGUUUUGACUAAUGCACUAUGGUUAUGUAAGAUAUUAGCAUUAUGGGAUGCUGGUCAAGGCCAGAUGGUGACUUUCUGCACUCUUUGUAAUGUUUUUGUAAAUCUAAAAUGAUUCCAGAAUAAAAGGUGUAUUUAAGAAAUGGGGGAAAAAGAUAAGCAGCUCUGGGCCUUGGAGAGAGAUACAAAAAUUAGUAGCAAUUGAAAAUAAUUGAAGCCUCACCAGUAAAUAAGACAAUACAGAAAGAGUGACAGAACCUUCAUGAAUUCAUGAGAAUAAAUGCUAAAUUGCCGUAACUUAAAGACCCUGUAAUACCUUGACUCAGAGGACAAAGAAGUUUCAUUUUUUCUUCCUUAACAGUCCCAAUGUGAAGAGACUCAGCUGGUAGGAUAGCUCAACUCUACUUAGGCUUUUAGGGACAGUUAUGUUUGGGUGAUCUGCAAUCCCAUAGGUGUCAUCGCUAGCCUGGUUAAAACUAGAGUACUGCCUUCUUUGUAUUCUUGUCAUUUGUGCCAAUCAAUUGUAACUGGAGAGAGAGAAUAAAAAAGAGUGUAUCUACAGGUGCAUAUUAGUUCACAGGUUUGGUGGUAGAAGUUAAGGAAACUUCCCUCUGUGAAGGAACAAAAUCAAAGUCAUCUGUUUGCGAUCAAGAGGGGCAUGGCAGGGUUAUAC
This 1491-nucleotide long non-coding RNA is filed under the name Homo sapiens (human). Its description in RNAcentral is "HSALNT0109950". Lineage: Eukaryota; Metazoa; Chordata; Mammalia; Primates; Hominidae. The record is from RNAcentral.